CAGAAACUACAAAGGAAGUUGACGGGGGCCCGGCACAAGCGGUGGAGCAUGUGGUGUAAUCGAAGCAACGCGAAGAACCUUACCAGGCCUUGACAUGCAGAGAACUUUCCAGAGAUGGAUUGGUGCCUUCGGGAACUCUGACACAGGUGCUGCAUGGCUGUCGUCAGCUCGUGUCGUGAGAUGUUGGGUUAAGUCCCGCAACGAGCGCAACCCUUGCCUUUAGUUGCCAGCAGUUCGGCUGGGCACUCUAAAGGGACUGCCGGUGUUAAACCGGAGGAAGGUGGGGAUGACGUCAAGUCCUCAUGGCCUUUAUGACCAGGGCUACACACGUACUACAAUGGCCGAUACAAAGGGCAGCGACACUGCGAGGUGAAGCCAAUCCCGUAAAAUCGGUCUCAGUCCGGAUUGGAGUCUGCAACUCGACUCCAUGAAGUUGGAAUCGCUAGUAAUCGUGGAUCAGCAUGCCACGGUGAAUACGUUCCCGGGCCUU
Molecule: ribosomal RNA, 490 nt
Filed under: uncultured Desulfobulbus sp.
Lineage: Bacteria; Pseudomonadati; Thermodesulfobacteriota; Desulfobulbia; Desulfobulbales; Desulfobulbaceae
Description: bacterial SSU rRNA
Rfam family: Bacterial small subunit ribosomal RNA
Source: RNAcentral